GAGCUCCUACGGGGGGCAGCAGUGGGGAAUAUUGCACAAUGGGGGAAACCCUGAUGCAGCAACGCCGCGUGAGUGAAGAAGUAUUUCGGUAUGUAAAGCUCUAUCAGCAGGGAAGAAAAUGACGGUACCUGAGUAAGAAGCCCCGGCUAACUACGUGCCAGCAGCCGCGGUAAUACGUAGGGGGCAAGCGUUAUCCGGAUUUACUGGGUGUAAAGGGAGCGUAGACGGCGAUGCAAGUCAGGAGUGAAAGCCCG
This 254-nucleotide ribosomal RNA is filed under the name uncultured bacterium. RNAcentral describes it as "partial 16S ribosomal RNA". It matches the Rfam family "Bacterial small subunit ribosomal RNA", at positions 333 to 604 of the family's 1533-position model. The record is from RNAcentral.